GCCUGGGUGGCUCAGUCGGUUAAGCAUCUGGCUUCGGCUCAGGUCAUGAUCUCGCAGAUCGUGGGUUCAAGCCCCGCAUCGGGCU
Molecule: transfer RNA, 85 nt
Organism: Felis catus (domestic cat)
Lineage: Eukaryota; Metazoa; Chordata; Mammalia; Carnivora; Felidae
Rfam family: tRNA
About the family: Transfer RNA (tRNA) molecules are approximately 80 nucleotides in length. Their secondary structure includes four short double-helical elements and three loops (D, anti-codon, and T loops). Further hydrogen bonds mediate the characteristic L-shaped molecular structure. tRNAs have two regions of fundamental functional importance: the anti-codon, which is responsible for specific mRNA codon recognition, and the 3' end, to which the tRNAs corresponding amino acid is attached (by aminoacyl-tRNA synthetases). tRNAs cope with the degeneracy of the genetic code in two manners: having more than one tRNA (with a specific anti-codon) for a particular amino acid; and 'wobble' base-pairing, i.e. permitting non-standard base-pairing at the 3rd anti-codon position.
Source: Rfam